AUGAGGAGGAGGAAGAGUCGUGCUGGAUUAAGGAGCGCCUCCAGGCCUUCCUGCACUGGCUGCAGGGUCUGCAAUGGGUCCAGCGCCUCUGCAACAAAAGGCAACCAACAGUGACGUGUUUUCAAACCGCUGCCCACAUCUGUACCUUUCUUCACCUUUCACCCUUGAGUAACGCUGUCUGUUACUACGCAGACAGGAGAGCUGCUACACCACGCUAACUAGGGGAUGCAAUCAUACCUUUUGUGUGUAGGUGCACUGCCCCAAAAGCACAGUUGGAUCUAAAUGAGGACCAUGAUGAUCCUCAGCAUUUAUGCUAAUCUCAAAUGGCCCCUCAAAGUGGGGAAACCAAAUGUUUGCCCCAAGUCACGGCAUGCUGCAAAAACUGUGUGUGUUUGUGUUCUUUCUUCCCUUUUAAACUUAUGAUGAUGAAUAGCAGCGUUCUUCAGAAGUGAAUGGAAAGUCUGUACUUCCAACCAGCAAAGGUUGACUUGCGUGAGAAGAGGAGGGAUCUCUUCUUUUCUUCGGGGUCCAAAGAGAAAAACACCGUUGUUUCUGCACUUCCUUCCCGGUACAGAGAGGCCGGGUAGUGCUGGUAUUUAUAGUCUCAGGGAUGUCAGGGCCGUACCUCGGGGACACCCCAGGGGGACAACUUGGUGCAGAGUUUGGGACAAAGAUCCCCGUAGGCGAGGUUACCAUCAGGCUUUGAACAUGACAGCUCCUGCAGACCCGACUCUGUGGUUCAACUCUACGGUGCAGACCAGCAACUACACACACACGCACACACACACACACACACACACACGCACGCAUUGACUCACUACAGAGGUGCAGUUGAGGACCUUUAGACUAGGGGACUUAUCAGAGCAUGUCCAUGCUUCCACAGCGUUUUCACAACAUGAAGAACGUUUAGUCCGGUCAUGAAAGCAAAAUCACAGGUGGAAAUAACACAUUUCAACUUUAUCUCUCAUAUUUCCCAAAUCAAGAUGUCUGCUGUGAUGCUCAGCAUCAGUCAUCCUGGAAACGAGUUCAGCUACGUCAAAAAAUCCUCCUGACGUAGAAAAUAUCCAUGUUUGAAUUAGCACUAAAUGAUGUUGCUGGUCCCUUCUGUGGUUACAGUUUGAUCCCAGUUUAGUCUGAACUAUACAAACAACACGGGCUGCCAUUUUAACACACAACAGAUGCUCCCAGCCCACAUACAGCCGAGUAUGCUGGGUUUGAAUACAUGAGACAUCCAAUGCAUCCGGAGCUUGCAGCUGAAGCUUCCCCAAGCACCACAGCCGGAGGUGACGGCGGAAACGCCAGAGCAGGACCGGUGAGACCAGGAUAGGUGAGAGCAGGACAGGUAAGACCAGGACAGGUAAGACCAGGACAGGUCAGAGCAGGACCGGUGAGAGCAGGACCGGUGAGAGCAGGACAG
Long non-coding RNA from Gasterosteus aculeatus aculeatus (three-spined stickleback), 1417 nucleotides. Lineage: Eukaryota; Metazoa; Chordata; Actinopteri; Perciformes; Gasterosteidae. The record is from Ensembl.